AGCCUCAACUUUGCCACCAUGUUAGUUUUUUAGUUAAACUAGAACACUAAAAGGAGGAUGUGCUCCUUACUUGCAUGCCUCUUAUCUUAGGAGCUGAGCUCCCUUUGGAGAGUUAACUCUCCAUCCACUAAGAAAAUAGCUGCCCACCUUGCCUAAUUCCCAUAUAACUAAGACUAGAUUUUGUUAUAAAUUAUUCUUACUUGCUUGGGCUUGACCUAAUCCAAUCGUGCACUAC
This 235-nucleotide long non-coding RNA is filed under the name Elaeis guineensis (African oil palm). Its description in RNAcentral is "long non-coding RNA (EGUI_LNC022596)". The record is from RNAcentral. Lineage: Eukaryota; Viridiplantae; Streptophyta; Magnoliopsida; Arecales; Arecaceae.